GGGCACCCAACUGGGAUGGUCCCAGUAUGAACAGCACACAACUGGGACGGUCCCAGUAUGAUGAGAACCUAACUGGGAGGGUCCCAGUAUAACGGGCGCCCAACUGGGAGGGUCCCAGUAUGGUGGGCACCCAACUGGAAGAGUCCCAGUAUGAACAGCACCCAACUGGGAGGACCCCAGUCUAGUGGGCGCCCAACUGGGAUGAUCCCAGUAUAAUGGGUACCCAACUGGGAUGGUCCCAGUAUGAACAGCACCCAACUGGGAUGGUCCCAGUAUGGUGGGCACCCAACUGGGAGGGCCCCAGUAUAACGGGCGCCCAACUGGGAUGAUCCCAGUAUGGUGGGCAUCCAACUGGGAGGGUCCCAGUAUGGUGGAUGCUCUACUGGGAGGGUCCCAGUAUGGUGGACACCCAACUGGGAGGGUCCCAGUAUGGUCAGUACCCAACUGGGAGGAUCCCAGUAUGAUGAGAACCUAACUGGGAGGGUCCCAGUAUGGUGGGCCCCCAACUGGGAGGGUCCCAGUAUGGUGGGUGCUCUACUGGGAGGGUCCCAGCAUGGUGGACACCCAACAGGGAGGGUCCCAGUAUGGUCAGCACCCAACUGGAGGGUCCCAGUAUGAUGAGAACCUAACUGGGAGGAUCCCAGUAUAACGGGCACCCAACUGGAAUGGUCCCAGUAUGGUGGGCGCCCAACUGGGAUGGUCCCAGUAUGAACAGCACCCAACUGGGCGGAUCCCGGUGUGAUGAGAACCAAACUGGGAGGGUCCCAGUAUAACGGGCGCCCAACUGGGAGGGUCCCAGUCUGGCGGGCGCCCAAGUGUGACGCUGGCACUCACCCGGUGGCCGCGCUGUCCCCGUUGCUGGUGGCCUCCAGCCGUGCCCUCUUGCCCCCAGGUCCUGGCAGAUCACCGUGCCGCUUCGGUGGCCCCUCUGGGGACGUGGAGGGGACGCCAUGAUGGGUGACACCGUGAUGGGUGACACCGUGAUGGGUGACGCCGUGAUGGGGGACACCGUGAUGGGUGACGCCAUGUUGGGUGAUGUCAUGUUGGGUGAUGCCAUGAUGGGUGACACCGUGAUGGGUGACGGUGGUGACACCAUGAUGGGUGACGCCAUGUUGGGUGACACCAUGAUGGGUGACACCGUGAUGGGUGACGCCGUGAUGGGUGACGUUGGUGACACCAUGAUGGGUGACGCCGUGUUCGGUGACACCGUGAUGGCUGACACUGGUGACGCCAUGAUGGGUGACGCCGUGUUGGGUGAUGCCAUGUUGGGUGACACCGUGUUGGGUGACAUUGGUGACAUCGCCGUAGCUCGGGGUGCCAUUCAGGUGGGUGGCACUGCCAUCCACGGUGGUCCCACGGGUGACAUCGUGAUGGGUGACACCUCCACAGGCCCCAUGGCCAUCAGUGACGUGGUUAUGGGUGACAUCUCCACGGGUGACACCUCCACGGGUGACACCUCCAUGGGUGACACCUCCACCGGUUCUGUGCCCAUCACCGACGUGGUUCUGGGUGACGUCUCCCCAGGUGACACUUCCACAGGUGACAUCUCCCUGGUUCUGGGUGGCACCUCCACGGGUGACACCUCCGUGGGUGACAUCACCCCAGGAGGCACCUCCCCAGGUGACAUCUCUGUGGCUCUGGGUGACAUUUCCACGGGUGACGCUCCCCCAGGUGACAUCCCCAUGGUUGACAUCUUCGUGGUUCCAGGUGACACCUCCGUGGGUGACACCUCCGUGGGUGACACCUCCAUGGCUCUGGGUGACACCUCCGUGGUUCUGGGUGACAUCUUCAUGGGUGACAUCUCUGUGGGUGACCUCUCCAUGGUUGACACCACCGUGGGUGACACCUCCACGACUCCAGGUGACAUCUCCGUGGUUCUGGGUGACAUCUCCAUGGGUGCCACCUCCAUGGGUGCCACCUCCGUUGGUGACAUCUUCAUGACCAACGCCUCCAUGGGUGCCACCUCCAUGGCUCCAGAUGCCACCUCCAUGGGUGACAUCUCCAUGGGUGCCACCUCCGUGGUUCCAGGUGCCACCUCCGUGGGUGCCACCCCCACGGUUCCAGGUGUCACCUCCACGGGUGCCACCCCCACGGCUCCGGCUGCCCCCCCCGCCACCCCCACCCCGUGUCCCCACCGCUUGUCCCCUGCCGUCCCCUCCGGCCCCCCAGGCGCUGUCCCCGUUGGCGCCGGGCGCCAUGCCGCCUUUGGCGCCCGCCAUGUUGCGCAGGACGAACUCCACGAUGUCGGACGGGAGGUCCUCGGUGUCACCUCCUUGUCCCCCCUGUCCCUUGUCCCCAUCGUCCACCCCGUCCAGCUGCUGGAUGUGGGGCUGCUCGGUGCCGUGGGGCGGAGCCGUGGGGCGCAGGGAUGAGCUCAGCAUGGCGCGGCCGUGGCGGGCGCUGCGCCGGCCACCAUCGGCCUUGGGGACACCCAUGGGGACACCCAUGGGGACAUCCAUGGGGACAUCCACGGGGACACCUCCUGGGGACAGCAGCUCUGAUGGUGGCACUGUUGGUGGCCACGGUUCCAUUGGGGGUGGCUUCCUCGGGGCUGGCGUUGGCCCGUUGGGUGGCACUGGCCCGUUGGGUGACGUUGAUGACCCGUAGGGUGACGUUGGUGGCCCGUUGGGUGACAGUGACCCGUUGGGUGACACUGGUGGCCCACUGGGUGACAUUGGCCCAUUGGGUGGCACUGGUGGCCUGUGCGGCCUGUUGGGUGACGUUGAUGACCUGUUGGGUGACACUGGUGGCCCGUUGGAUGGCGCUGGUGGCCCGCUGGGUGACACUGGCCUACUGGGUGGCAUUGAUGACCUGUUGGGUGGCAUUGAUGACCUGCUGGGUGACACUGGCCCGUUGGGUGGCACUGGUGGCCCGCUGGAUGACACCGACGGCCCACUGGGUGACAUCGGUGGCCCAUUGGGUGACACUGGCCCAUUCGGUGACACUUGUAGUCCACCGGGUGACAUCGGCGGCCCAUUGGGUGACAUCUGUCCCAAGAGCAACGGUGGCCCAUUGGAUGACACCGGUGGCCCGCUGGGUGACGCUGGUGGCCCACUGGGUGACGCUGGUGGCCCAUUGAGUGACAUCUGUCCCAAGAGCGACGGUGGCCCGUUGGAUGACACCGGUGGCCCGCUGGGUGAGCCUGGUAGCCCAUAGGGCGACACCGGCGGCCCGUGAGGCGACAUCUGUCCCAAGAGCGACGGCGGCCCGUUGGGUGACGUCGGUGGCCCACCGGAUGACGUUGGUGGCCCAUGGGGUGACAUCUGUCCCACGUCGGGUGACGGUGGCUGCGGGCGGACGUUGGGGACGCGGCG
Long non-coding RNA from Phasianus colchicus (ring-necked pheasant), 3314 nucleotides. The record is from Ensembl. NCBI's taxonomy places the organism in Eukaryota, Metazoa, Chordata, Aves, Galliformes, Phasianidae.